AUUGAACGCUGGCGGAAUGCUUUACACAUGCAAGUCGAACGGUAGAGGGGGCAACCCCUCGAGAGUGGCGAACGGGUGAGUAAUAUAUCGGAACGUGCCCAGUCGUGGGGGAUAACGUAGCGAAAGUUACGCUAAUACCGCACACGAUCUAAGGAUGAAAGCGGGGGAUCGCAAGACCUCGCGCGAUUGGAGCGGCCGAUAUCAGAUUAGGUAGUUGGUGGGGUAAAGGCUCACCAAGCCAACGAUCUGUAGCUGGUCUGAGAGGACGACCAGCCACACUGGAACUGAGACACGGUCCAGACUCCUACGGGAGGCAGCAGUGGGGAAUUUUGGACAAUGGACGCAAGUCUGAUCCAGCCAUUCCGCGUGCAGGAUGAAGGCCCUCGGGUUGUAAACCGCUUUUGUACGGAACGAAAGGGCUCUGGUUAAUACCUGGGGCUCAUGACGGUACCGUAAGAAUAAGCACCGGCUAACUACGUGCCAGCCGCCGCGGUAA
RNAcentral lists this ribosomal RNA (496 nucleotides) under uncultured bacterium. Its description in RNAcentral is "partial 16S ribosomal RNA". It matches the Rfam family "Bacterial small subunit ribosomal RNA", at positions 30 to 523 of the family's 1533-position model. The record is from RNAcentral.